RNAcentral lists this transfer RNA (64 nucleotides) under Pseudomonadales bacterium. Its description in RNAcentral is "tRNA-Phe". It matches the Rfam family "tRNA", at positions 5 to 66 of the family's 71-position model. Rfam says of the family: Transfer RNA (tRNA) molecules are approximately 80 nucleotides in length. Their secondary structure includes four short double-helical elements and three loops (D, anti-codon, and T loops). The record is from RNAcentral. Lineage: Bacteria; Pseudomonadati; Pseudomonadota; Gammaproteobacteria; Pseudomonadales.
GGGUAGCUCAGUUGGUAGAGCAGGGGAUUGAAAAUCCCCGUGUCGGCGGUUCGAUUCCGUCCCC